UUAGGAAGAGGAUUCUUCACAUCAGGUGCUAAGUUUGUCGAAAACCUUGCCCACGAUGAUUCCCGAAAGGUUUGUCAAUGUCACAAAAUUUUACAUUAUAAAGUUAAAAGUGCUUCUCGGUCAUAGAAGCAUUUUUUGAAAGAACGAACAUGCCAUAUGCUUCUUCAGGAAGCAAGCACUUGAAUUUUUAAUAAAAAUUAUUAACGUCUUUGUAAUGAAAGCGUUUAACAGCAGAAGCACUUAAGAGCUAAAGUGCUUUCAUUCAUUGGCUGCAGAAUCUACCGAGGUUCCAACCCGAAAAUGUAGAGCACAACAAAACACUAUUCGAGCGAGUUAGUGAUCUUGCAGCAAGGAAAGGGUGCACGCCAUCUCAGCUAGCAUUGGCCUGGGUUCAUCACCAAGGGAAUGAUGUGUGUCCUAUCCCCGGAACCACCAAGAUUGCGAAUUUUGACCAGAAUAUCGCAGCUCUGUCUGUUAAACUGACACCGGAAGAGUUGGCUGAGCUUGAAUCUUAUGCUUCAGCAGAUGCCGUUAAAGGUGAUAGAUAUCCGAACUACUGUAGCACUUGGACGGACACCGAUACUCCGCCACAGUCUUCGUCAAACUUCUAAAAAACAUUAGGAACUAGUUGAGCGGUGGGCAACAGCAUUGCACCUAGUAUUCUAGGCAGGGGCUAGUCGAGUCUUUUUUGUCUUAAUUGAAUAUAUCAUAUAACAAUAAAAACAUCACUCACAUAGUUCUACUUAAUAUAUAUAUAUAUAUAUAUAUAUAUAUAUAUAUAUAUAUAUAUAUAAUGUUAUAAAUAAGAUUUAUUAUGUGGUUGUUCACAUUCUGGAUCAUUAUGUAAUAUCUCAAUAGUUGAACACAUUUCUAUGUAAAUCCUACAUAUCACUAUUCUCUAUUUUCUCUAAAUUUAUUUCUAACAUGUUGUCAGCUUGCGUUUAUUAUAUUUAUUCUGAACUAGAGUCGUAAUGUGAUUUAGAGUUUCUUAUACUCAACCAUUGAACUUCACCAUGCUCAAAGUUGUUAGUUCUUUUUUUACAAAUUUUAAUCGAGCGUUGAAUUUAUUUUGGUAUGAAUUACUUUGGAAUGCUCGCGAUUGUUAUCCCACCUUGUUAUAUAUGUGCGUGUUGGUAAAACUUGGAAGAUAUUGCUGUUUGUCUUUCUCCACCAAGCCUUGCAACACACGAUCAACAUGAAUCUAUAGCAUGUAUAUCUUAUUUCUUUGCUUUUUAUUAUUCUAUGAAUUAUGUCAAUGCAAAGGCCUCUUAAUAUUUUCUUUAACCGGUUAUGCAUCAAUACAUGACAUAAACAUUUUUUUUUAAUAAACGAUAUUAUCUACAUUAAGGACGAGGGAUGAGUUUAGCCUCACAAUGAGCUAGCAAUAAUACAGUUCAAAUUCGCUUUUGGUGAGAAUCGAACCUAAAACCUUACUUACAAAUAAAAAUGAAUAUCAUUAAAUCGCAAUACUAUGUGACACGACAUAAAACAUAUAUAUAUAUAUAUAUAUAUUUUUUUUUUUUUUAAAAAGGGACAACUGAUGGCAAGCCACGGUUAUUCAUCCCUUCCACAGGGACUGGGAAGAUUUACAAAGGUAUUUUAGCCCCCUGGCCACAAGUCUAGCUUUUACACUAGCAACGGGUUUCGAAUUCGAGACCUCCAAUUUUUAGUUUUAAGAAAGCCUCGUACUAUUCGCUUUAGUUAUAAGCAAAUAUACAAAUACUAUCCAAUUAAGAUAUUUUAUUACAAAAACAAGAAUAAUUUGAGUACAUUGAUAUUUUUACACUAAGAGGAAUGAGAGUUCAGCUAAGCCACAUAAUUGGCAACCUACCUCUCACUAAUAAAUUGAAGAGGAAAACCACUAGAUAGAAGUAUUGAGUAGCAACAAGAAAGAUAUUUUGAAUUAUGUUAUUUGUGGUUUUCCGAGAAGGAACACAAACCCUAAAAUUUUGGAAAGCUUUGCGUAAAGAACCUGGACAAUAGGAUCUCUCCUAUUUUGGGGAUUUGGAUUCCAUCCCUGCCAACGUGUCCCAAAUAAAUUAAGAAUUGUGCUAGCCAUAUACCUAUUUUUACUUCUCAAUUUUUUUUUUAAUUUUUGGUCGUUGAAUCGGAUGAAUCGAAGAAGAUUAAUAGUUAAAAAUUAACAAAAGUGUGUAAAUGUAAGAAUGAGUGUGUAAAUAACGAUUUUCUGAAAAUAAAACAGAAAAGUAAGUACCUCUCACUUCUCCAAUCUUCCUCCUCAAAGUCUCACUCACAUGCACUGACUCAUCAUCUCGGCUUCCAAACCCAAGCCUCACUCGCUCUCUCCCUCUCUCUUGUAAAUAAGUGGGAGGACUACUUAUUUCAGAUGGGAUGGGAAUCCACAAUGGUGGGGCUCGAGGCUUGCGAAAUGAGAAACUUCCUCUGUUGUGCGAAACUGGUGGUGAGCAGUGCCCUUGCUAGGCAUGAGAGCCGCGGACUUCACUAUACCAUCGAUUUUCCUGAUCUUGAGGAGAGCAAGAGGCUUCCAACAGUUAUACUCCCUUCUUCAUCCGUGCGAACUUCAUGGAGUUCGCGUCAACUACACAAGCUGCCAUUGUGUUGGGAAGUGCAACUUUUUCGGCAUCUGUUGAAAUCAUAGCGUCUCAAGUUUUAGCUUCCCUUCCAGAACCGUUUUGGCUAGGAUUGAAGCAUCCGAAAUUCGAGCAGCAUCUGUGAAAGCCGCACCAGGUUGCACCAGUUUAUCAAAAUAUUAAUGAAAUAGUUUACAAUUCAAUUUGAAUGUAUAUUUGCUGAUCGACGAACAGUGAAAAAUGUAAAUUUAUCUACUGCAAUCAGCAUUCAGCUGAGAAAGUCAAAUUUUUGUUUCAAAUUUUUUCCAAAGUUUCCCUUUUUUCCCCUCUGAACUUCUUCCCUCCAAAUACUUUAGAGAGAGAGAGGGCCAAAAACAAAAAGGAAAUGCUUAGAGAAUUGUUAUUUAGCUCUAAAAAAAUUUCAUUUUGCAAGUCGACUCAGUCGAGUGAAAUAUCGAGUGAAACGAGCGAGUACCACUUGAUGAACACAUGAACUCGAAUCGUUAUGGAUAAAUAUUCUUAAUCACUCACAUUCAAAAUCGAUUUUUUUUAGCAAAAAUGGUUCAUGAGAUUGGCAUAACUCAUUUCUUUGGUAUUUGAAAAAGAAAAUCGAUAGAAGUGAUCUCUGAGUUUGUCCAUUGUAAAUCAUUUUGGUUAUUUCAUUGAAAAUUUGUCAAUCUCCUCAUUAAGUGAAGGGAUUGAUUUGACAAAAAUACUCACGUGGUUGUUCAUGUAAUAGUUUAACGAGGAUGUUGACAAAUUACUCACGAUUUGACCAAAAUAAUUUUUCGGUGGACAAAUUUAGGGACUACUUAUAUUGAUUUUCAUUGUCAGAAAUCAAAAUUAAGAGUUAUAUCACUCUCAAUGAACAUUUUGACUUGAAAAUCUUAAACAUCUGUAAAGAAAACAAAUUCAAUCCAUGUAGUGAUAAAUGUGGUGCACCAUGGCGUCACUCUUAUCUUCUUUUCCUAAAAACCAACUUUAUGACAAGAGGGUCCAACUUGCAACAAAAAACAUGUUUUGGUCUGUCCAUGAAAAAGAUCUUUCAUGCAAUCCAAUCCGAUGACGUACUGUCACGCGUAAAAGCUAAAAAUUAUGUCGAUAAGUGAUUAAUUGGGAUACCGCUACAACAAAGUAAAGCUUCUAAAAAAUAAAAAGUAGUCAUUAUCUUGAAUAUUAGAUGAUUCAAAGCUCCAAAAUAUUCUAAAAUUAAACACUUUCUAACACUAAUGCUUUAGCACAUUCAAUCACAAAAUCUCAUCGACUCAUUGUAACCAAAAGAGACCUACAAAAGAAAUGCAUAAAUUGAAUUAGUAUCCCAUUUAGGAACACCGACACCAAUUAACAUGAAUCUAACAGAGGUAAGUGAUUACAGAAGGUUUACAUUGUACACUCAGUUAUUAGAAAAAGAAAAAAAAAAAAAGAGCAUACAAAAGGGGAGGGACCAGGAUCCUCUCCUGAGCUAAGGAUGAGGAUCCUCCUCAUCAAGGGAUAUGGACCGUUGGAUCCAACGGUUACAAACAGGGGGGUCCUUUUAAAGUUAUAAUAAUUGUAGCCGUUGGAUUUUCAUCCAACGGCCCACACCCUUUGAUGAGGAGGAUCCUCAUCCUUAGCUCAGGAGAGGAUUCUGGUCCAAAGUGGAGUACCAAAUCAAUUGAGUUAGAUGAACGACGAAGAUGAGAGAGAGGGCAGCGAGGAGGGAGAGAUGAGCGGGGGACGGGGCGUUUGAGACUUUGAGUCUGACGAAGAGAUUGAAAAUUUAGGGUUUUUAAUUUUUUUUUUAAUUUUACAUAUCUUAAAUUAAAUGAGUAAAUGGAUACCCGUUAUAACCGUGGGUAAUACCCAUAAUUGAUGGAUACCCAUUAUAACCGCGGCUAAUACCCAUAACCGCCAAUUUAAAUUUCAUGGAUAAACGGUUAUACUCAUAACCGUUUGUUUGUCUAAGCGGUUAUCCAUAACAGUAACCGUGAACUUUAAAUGAGUAUGUAACCGCGAUUACCCAAACCCAUGGGUAUUUUGCCCAUCCCUAUGUAUGAUAACCAAAUUCAUAUAGUAAUAUGAUCUAGUGCUAGACCCAUCCACUUAUAAGUGAAAACGUCUUAGGUUUGAAUUUGCUAGUUCGAUACCAAUUUUGUUAUGGUUGAUUGGUUCUAUGGCUUAAUCCAAAUCUCUCAUCCUUUAGUGUAAAUAUAUCGUUGUAUCAAAAGAAAAAAUUUAUCAUCCUCUGUUAUAGAAAUUAACUAGACAUUAAUGAACACUUUAGCUUCUUUAAGUUAUAUUGACACCGUUGGAAAAUGCAUGUUUCAACCUACAUCGAAAAUUAGAAAACAAAACCUAGUUUUGGUUUCUUCCCAGGCAAUCUCGUAUUUUGGUUUUAAUCUACUGAAACUGGAAGUCAAAACAAUCGAAGCUAAGACGCAACCAUGUCCAAAAUUAAGUGAAAAAAAGUUCAAAGUUUGAUACACAACACGAGGAAAUUUGAGCACAAAAUGUCUGUUGUCUUAAGCUCAACCAUAAAAAGAUAAUGAUCUGGUUUGGUAUUGCUUUGAAAAAAUACUAAUUUUGUUGUGCCGUAAGAAUAAACUCAUUUUUGCUGCUUCACAUUUUCAGCUUUUUUUCAUCCAAAACUGUGAAAAUAAGCUGUUUUUAAGUGUUUACCAAACAUCUUUUUAAACUCAAUUUUUUUAUAUCUACUUUUUAUAAAAGCACAUCAGUACCAAAUAAGUACUUACGAGUAGUAGUAAAGGCUCCAAGCCUCCAAACUAUUAUAAAAACAAUAGUGAUAUUUUAUCGUCCAAAACUGACAUACUUACUAACUUUCUAUAAUAAAGGUAGGCUCUACCAUUAUAAGUGGGAUCUACCUGCAUUAAAAAAUAUCAGUGUGUCAGUUUUGGUAUAUAUAAAUAACAUUACUCAAUACUAACUGAUAUCAUAGUAUAUCGUUAAUUCUUUUGUGCGUCCUUCUGAAGCUCAUUUAUUUGGUUUUGAUUUCAAUAGAUAAGCUUACCAAGUAAUUCGACUUUUUAAACAACCUUCACUUUUUGAAUUUUAAAGUUAAUCUUCACCAUUCAUUUUCUAAAUUAUUCGUGUCUUCAAGACUAUUGAAAAAAAAAUUACAUUUCUUUUGUCAUAUCGUGUGUCACAUCAUUUAGAAUAAGUGUCCGUUUACUCUCGUGAACAUUUGAGAUCAGACUUGGGUGGCACGUCGAAAUUACUCUGGCUUUUUGCUUACAUUUACUAGUUGCACGAAUGUAAAUGGUACGGGUAUCGUUAGCCGCCGCUGCAUACAUUUCACUGAAAAAUCUUGCAUCUUGACAGACAAGUUUCGAGUUUCCUUUUGGUAAUCGAUAUACGUAUGCUCUUACGCCAUCAGUUGACAACCAAGCCGUAUGCUCUUACGCCAUCACUUCACCACCACGCCAACUCUGUUGUUUAUAUAUAUGAUACAAGCUUAGCUUACUUAUCAGUUCACUUAAUCUGCUUACACAAAUGGCAGGAGGAGCAGGAAUAGUGAAGAGGAUGAAGUUGGGUUCACAAGGCCUCGAGGUGUCGGCUCAAGGCCUUGGCUGCAUGGGCAUGUCCGCCUUCUACGGCGCUCCAAAGCCCGACCAAGACAUGAUCAGUCUCAUCCACCAUGCCAUUAACAGCGGGGUCACCUUCCUUGAUACCUCUGACAUCUACGGUCCCUUCACCAACGAAAUCCUUCUUGGCAAGGUAGGUAGCCGCCAUAUUGUUGGUUAUGAUUUGCGUUUACUUUAAAUUGUAAUCCAUCUUAACUCGUAUUGUAUUGAUAGAUUUUCCGGUUUGUUUGGAUUAAAUGUUGAAUUGGUGAUGAACUCAAGUAGGUUCGAUCAGUCUACAUCCUGUUUUGAUGUUACCAAUUUAAAAAGACUGUGACUGCGUUUUUGCAAAACAAUUUAAAAAGUGCUUAUGGCUCAUUUAAGUGUUUUCAGGAGAAGCGUAUGUCAUAUGCUUUUUUUGGAAGCAAUUCCAAGUGAUUUUCUAGGAAACACUUGAUUUUUUUAAUAAGAAUUUUGACUUCUUUAUAGUAAAAGACCUUAUGAAAAAAAAAAUGUUUGUGAGCAGAAGUGCUUCUUAUAGAAGCAACCCCAAAUGAGAUUGUUGCUUUGUUGUAUUGAGUUCGCUGAUGAAAACAUGAAUUGGGCUUAUGUUCACUAUAUUGUUGCAUUAAUUUAACUGAAUUUACUGAACCAUGAACAUGGUAUUUGGGUUUUGUUUUGGAUUAAUGUCGAAUAAGUAAACUGGUUAUGAAAUGAACUGGCUUUUGUGGGAUUGAUGAGGAGCAGGCUCUCAAGGGAGGGGUACGAGACAAGGUUGAAUUGGCCACCAAGUUUGGUCUCAGAUUUGUGGAGAACAAGAUGGAGGUGGGGAAAAACAUGGAGGUGCAAGGUGACCCUGCUUAUGUGAGAGCUGCUCUCGAGAGUAGCUUGAAGCGCCUUGGUGUUGAUUCUAUUGAUCUCUAUUAUCAGCAUCGCAUUGACACCUCCGUCCCCGUUGAAGUCACGGUUUGUCUUCUUCCCUCUUGAAUUUUGAUCUCCUUUUAAUUACAAACAUAGAACAAUAUGCAUCUGCGUCUGCGAUUCUACGGGCCUAGUAAAGUUAUGGUUAUUUCACCGACUCACAGCUUCCUGUAUCCCUUUGUUAAGUCGCAUAUUUUAUCCUCAAUUUCGUUUCAUUUCGUAGUGUCCAUAUGUAUUUUUCUCAAUGGCAUGCAUCAUGAUUCACUUAUUUUGCUGAAUGCUUGCCGUCCCUUAAAUUCCUUUAUUAUGUCUUAUACAAGGUUGGGGAACUGAAGAAAUUAGUUGAAGAGGGUAAGGUAAAGUACAUUGGUCUAUCUGAGGCUUCAGCUUCAACGAUAAGAAGAGCCCAUGCUGUUCAUCCUAUAACAGCUGUGCAGUUGGAGUGGUCCUUGUGGUCAAGAGAUGUCGAGCAAGAAAUAAUUCCUACUUGUCGGUGAGGUUCACUGAAACAACGUAACUUGUUUACCAAGUCCGAAGUAAUUGUUAAUUCUGAUCUUAGUUUCCUAAACUUACCAGGGAGCUUGGAAUUGGCAUUGUUGCGUAUAGUCCUUUAGGAAGAGGAUUCUUCGCAUCAGGUGCUAAGUUUGUCGAAAACCUUGCCCACGGUGAUUCCCGAAAGGUUUGUCAAUGUCACAAAAUUUUUCAUUCUGAAGUUAAAAGUGCCUCUCCGUCAUAGAAGCAUUUUUUGAAAGAAUGAACAUGCCAGAUGCUUCUUCAGGAAGCAAGCACUUGAAUUUUUAAUAAAAAUUAUUAACUUCUUUGUAAUGAAAGCGUUUAACAGCGGAAGCACUUAAGAGCUGAACUGACGUGCUUUCAUUCAUUGGCUGCAGAAUCUACCGAGGUUCCAACCCGAAAAUGUAGAGCACAACAAAACACUAUUCGAG
RNAcentral lists this long non-coding RNA (7977 nucleotides) under Malus domestica (apple). RNAcentral describes it as "long non-coding RNA (MDOM_LNC007858)". The record is from RNAcentral. Lineage: Eukaryota; Viridiplantae; Streptophyta; Magnoliopsida; Rosales; Rosaceae.